GUCGGGUAAGUCCUACACGACCAGCUCCCCCCGAACUCCGUCAGGUCUUGAUCGAAGCAGCGGUAGGGGGUCGUAGCGGUGCGAUGUAGUAAGCUUACCCU
Molecule: signal recognition particle RNA, 101 nt
Filed under: human gut metagenome
Also listed under: 1 other name
Description: Bacteroidales small SRP
Rfam family: Bacteroidales small SRP
About the family: The non-coding component of the signal recognition particle in Bacteroides
Source: RNAcentral